RNAcentral lists this long non-coding RNA (20245 nucleotides) under Arabidopsis thaliana (thale cress). Its description in RNAcentral is "long non-coding RNA (ATHA_LNC000330)". Lineage: Eukaryota; Viridiplantae; Streptophyta; Magnoliopsida; Brassicales; Brassicaceae. The record is from RNAcentral.
GGAGGCCAUUUCCCGAACUUGGGGUGGUGAAUGUAUUUAGGAGGAAGAGGUGGAAACUUUGGAAGUGGUGGGAGCUGUGGAAGUGGCGGACAUGGCUUCUUUGGAAUCACCACUACCGGUGGUUUGUAUACUGGUACCGGCGGAGGGCAUGGCUUCUUGGGGAUCACAACCGGUGGUUUGUAUAUUGGUACCGGCGGAGGACACGGCUUCUUCACAAUUGGUGGUAUGUAGAUUGGUGGAUGCUCUAUCUUCGGCGGCGGCUUGUAAACCGGAACUGGAGGUGGGUGCUCUAUCUUCGGCGGUGGAAUGACUAUCUUUGGCGGCGGCUUGUGGACUGGAACCGGCGGUGGAUCAACUUUCUUAGGCGGACAAGGCUUCUUCGUUGGUGGUUUGUGGACUGGCACCGGCGGUGGAUCAACUUUCUUAGGCGGACAUGGCUUCUUCGGUAGCUUGUGUACCGGAACGGGAGGUGGGUGCUCUAUCUUUGGCGGGGGCUUGUAAACCGGAACCGGAGGUGGCUUCUCUAUCUUUGGCGGUGGCUUGUAAACCGGAACCGGAGGUGGGUGCUCUAUCUUCGGCGGUUUAGGUGGACAAGGCUUCUUAGGAAUAGGCGGUGGAAGCUCCACCUUUGGUGGUGGCUUGUAAACUGGGACAGGUGGUGGAACCUCUUUCUUAGGCGGUGGAUCGUAAACCGGAACCGGCGGGGGAAUCUCUUUCUUUGGCGGCGGCUCGUAAACUGGUACCGGGGGUGGAACCUCCACAGGAGGACUGUAUUUAGGUGGACAUGGCUUCUUGAGAAACGGUGGAAGUUCCAAAGGUGGAGGUAAAGGGAAAGGAUGAUCAAAGCCCUUAAAAGGAGGCAACUUAGGCAUAGGCCAGAAGAAUUUGGAAACGCAAAUCUCCGGUGAAAAUUUCAGAUUUUGUUUGAGACCCAAAAUGUGUUUAUCCCCGGAUUUGGAUAAAAACACGAUCUUGGUGGACUCAAGGCCGUCGUGAGCCGGACAAGGUGUUCCCGCCGCGCUGUGAAGCUGAGCGUAACACUCCUCCUUUAACGCUCCGUUGUCGGAGACAAUGUCAUGAGGAAUAUUAAGACCAAACUUUCCUUUGUCGUCAAUGUUUCCCGAACCUUUUGUAACAAAAUGGCCUUUAUUCACCUUACAGUCGAUCGUCACUCGAAGUCCUAUAACAAAUAAUAUCACACAUUGAUCAAAUAUAUAUUCACAAAAAAAUAAACUAUAUAGUACAUAAGAUAUUAAUGUAAGUUAUGAGAUACCUGAAAAUGCAUGGGGGGUUUUGAUCUUGCUCUCGGCGUAACCGACAACUUCGACGACACGAGCGAGUGAGAGAGUCGCUGAUAAGAGAACCGACACAAGAAGGAGAAGACACGGAACCGAACCUCGAGGUUCGGGUAAGAUCCUCAUUGGGAUUCUCACCCUCUGAGAUUUCUGACACACUUCCCUUUCGUUUGCUGAAAAUAUAAAGAUUAUAAGAAGAACAAAAACAAACUAUAGAGUAUUAGUGGGGAAGGUGAUGAUAUGAUUAUAGUGAGACUUCUUCUCGUUUAUAUAAUGGUCUUAUCAAAGAUUUUUCUGAAGAUUGAUCGUAAUAAUUACUUCCGAAUUAAUUAACGUUUAGUUUUUUUUUUUUUUACCAACAAUAAUUGGAUUCGGCGGUUCCUAUUAUUUUGUAUUGUGUAUCAUUUAUUUAAUGUCGUCAUGGUCCAUCUUCUCGUUGUUACUUUCGUCUAUGCGGCACUUUAUGAUAUUUUUCAUGCAGGGUGGUUGAAACACAUUGACUUUUUUUUCCUUAAUACGACAACGGCAUUCAAAUUUUAUUUUUUGUUUCCCUCAUCAACGUUAUUGCACGAGACAUAUGCGUACAACUUUUGACACACGAAACUUUUGAUCCGCAAAUAUGGUUAAUUUUAUUGUUAUAGAGAUUGCAGGAUGAGCAUGCAUAUACUUUUUUUUUGUUUCACACACACGCUAUGGUUGAAAAAAGAAACUGAAUUAAUCAGUGCGUGUAUACGGCUCCACCAACCCAAAAUUGAAGCGGAUCACAUUAUGGUUAGAAGAGAAACUUAAAUGUUUUUAUGGAAAAAAUAUAGUCAGUCACACUACUUGUCGGCUUAUAUUUCUUGUCCACUCCGUAUAUAUUUAAGUAAUUAUUUUACCGGAAAUCCAUUACAAUGCUAACAAAUAUUCUUAACAUUUGCAGUUAUGCACGCCAUGAUAUCUACUGUUUUAACCGUAUAUACAUAACAAUAAAAUAAAGUAGCUAGUAGUAAUAAACUAACGAAAUUUGUCAGAGAAGAGGACUGAUAUGAUUUAUUGGCAUUUGGUUAGAUGGAGAUAGAAGUUAAUAUCUAUCAUCAAUCUACUUCGUCUCUGAAGUUAAUUGGCAAGGCCCUUCAAUAAAAGCAGCCAGCUCAAAAGCCUACUAGUAUUUGUUCCUUUUUCUUUUUUUUUUCUGGACAAGCUAAGCUAACUACUAUUUGUUCAUUUUAAUUUGAUGAAAAGUGUAUACGUAAACGUUUGAUUACUAAAUCUCGUUUUGUUCGAAAUGAAUAGAAGAGUUAAAGAACACUUAUGGAAUAUGAGAACGUAUCAACUUGAUAACAAAUAAGAACGCAUAGCACUUUUACAAAUUCAACUUUAUAUAUAGUACAAGAAUUCAGCUACAUAUGUAUCGCCGUAAUUUUCUCUGAAAACUAUUAUAUAUUGUUUUUACACAAAUGACCGAUAUCAAAUGUUGAAAUUCAAAACUUUCACCCACUCUUCAUUGCUAGUUGCUACUAAAUCCUUACACGUUCUUAUGCAAAAUUAGCAAUAUUAUCUGAUGUCGCAAAAUUGACAUGAUGCAUAUAUAUAUGGGUGCAUGCAAUGCAAUAGCUAGUCCGACUUUCGAAUCGAGAGACGACCUGAUUAGAUAUAUAAAAAGAUAAACUACAGUCCUGACUGCGUUCUAGGUGUUAGAAACUUACAACGCGAACUAGAAAUACAGAAUUGAGGAUUAUAUGUGAACGAUAUCAUAAUGUUGGUUGCCAUAUUAAAAGCUACACCUACUCAUCCACGCCCAUUAAUACGGUGGCUUUGGACAGUUGUACAAUAAGAGGUUCAAGUUUAAAGUUAUUAUUGUAUAUUCAUUUUCUGGUAUACAGAAGAAAUAUAUACUUUCAUAAUGUACACAUAAUCGCUAAUAAGGCCCAUUCUUAAAUGUACGUAAAAACAUGUAUUCAAUAGCCUAAUUGUGUAGAUGGUGAGUGUAUAUAGUCGAUCGGGGUAUAACCUAUAGCGACUAUCUAUGCUUCCUUUAUAAAAAUAAAUAUAUGAUCGCUAAUUUAAGCAAAAACAGAUGUGUCUUAUGGAAAAUUCUUUUUCCAAUAGAUAUCUAAUUAUAUAGAGCUUAACUUUUUUUUUUUAUAUUGCAUUUUGCUUUAUGUAUACUAUUAUGAUGUAUAAUAACAUAGUUAAAUAUGCUAUUUAUAAUGAAAACACAACCUUAUCGUGUGUUUUAGCAAAACAAAUCACAAAUUGUCUGUACACAAAAAAUGUUUUUUUUUCAAAACAUUCAGAGUUAAAAUUACAGUAUGUGAUAAAACACUUGAAAGUUAUGUGCGUAUAAAACAAUCAAUGUAUAAUAUAUAUGGAUUUUACAGCCCUAUGUAUAAGAAAGAUAAACCCUAUAUAUAUUAGGUAGCAAACUAGCAAUAAUAAAUGAAGUGAGAAAGAAAAAAAGUAGCAAGAAAAUAAAAAGAUCUAAUUUUUGGGCAACCAAGGAUAUAGUCCCACAUGGUGUGAGUUUUGCGAUAUUAGUUUUGUUAGGUGACAUGCGAUAAAUAUGUGAACUGUAUAUGGUUCCCCACAUUGAUUAAAUCGAAAAUUGUUUUAUGUAUGUAUGAAAAUUUGUUUUUUUUCUCUCCAUAUGUAUGAGGCGUACGUAAAAAUAUCCCGACGAAUGCAGAUCUGGAUGUUGACAUAUUCUCUGAAUAUACAGUUACAUUGUUUAUAAAAACUCACAUAGAUAUAUUGAAUGUAAAGGACAAAAGGACCCAGAGAUUUUUACUACUUGUAGAAGUAAAACACAAAGGUUGGUGUCCAGAAUUGUACGGAUGGAUUGAAAAUGUGCGAAAUAAUAUAUAAAUGCUACUUAUCUAACAAAAGUAAAACAAUGUUGAUACAUCUUAUAUCUGACAAUGUCACCAUGGGUGCAAUGAAUUCGAAUUCAUACCCAACUCGAAGCUAUAUGUACCAAAACAAAAUCGACUGAGGUUAUUCAAGUCAUUUUUUAUUUAAUCAUGUAACUCAAUUUGUUGGAAAGUUAAUAUUAAUUUUUGAAUAGAGACAAAUCUUUUCAGUCUAAUCAUUAACAAUUUGCAAACUCAAUAUACACCAUACAUCCAAAAAAGUCUUAAGCAAAAGAGUCAUCACGAUCGAGGUCACCAUCCUCCUCCAUUUUGCUGAACUGGAGGAAAUGAGUGGGUCGAUGGACUUGGUGAUAGUAUUCCUUGGGGGUUCCGAGUGUCAAGCUGUAGUUUAUGCUCACCGUGUGAUUCGCUCCCAUGAAGUUGUAGUUCCAGGGUCCGUUCUCAGGAACCUAUCAUUCAACAAUGUCUCAUUAUUUCAGUGCUAUAUAAUAAAAUAAUAUCUAUCAAUCAAGGGCAAACACACAAAAAUCAAGGGGUUACUGUGUGUUCUCACCAUGUAGAACCCGAAGAAACGGUCACUCAAGAGCAUUUGGACCUUCUCGUAGUGGGUGGGAAGGUAACCGUGGGGAUUGCUGCCUGUGUCUUUGUUCAGCCGUCCCCAUUCAUAUCCGGCUUGCGUCAGCUUAUAUGACGUCAAAGAGCAUGAGCCCGGAGUGAAACUACAUGUCAGGAUGAUGCAUUUUUCUGCGUCCCAUUGCUUGUUGUUCUCCAGAACACGAGUGUGAAAAGUCACAUCCUACAGCAGCACAAAAAAAACCCAGUUAUUACGUGUAAAAGUUCGUAAGAAAGUAUAAAUAUAUAUGCAUACCUGUGGUGACAACUGAGGAAGCUCGUUAGGCUGUGUGUGUAUCCAUCCCAGGGGCUCUAAAUCAUCCAAGAACUGAUGUUCCGGAAGAGACGACGGCAGUUGAACUUGCUGGUGAUUUCCGCAUUGUGGCACCAUCACAACACAACGGAUUUCCUUCACUUGAGGAUUAUCCGGCGGACUUAUCCCAUAUAAAUAUCCAGCAAUUUGAGUUCGAAGAUCCGCUAUGCAUAUAAACUUCUUCAAUAUGUUCUUUGGCAUGAUGUAGGUGUAUCCAGUUUCCUGUGAACAACAAACAAAUAAGUUUUAGGGACUUUACUUAUUAAUUUGAAUAAGCAAGUCUGAGCGAAUUACCUUUAUGUCAUCUGAGUUCACGUAGAUGUGGUUGACCCUGAGGUAGAGGUUAGUAGCUGAAAUUGCGCGCACACGCCAGUCUGUUUUGGAUCCGAAUGCAGAUUGCUCGUACGGACUAAUGGUGGUGCUAAUCAAUUCAUCACCAUGAACAUUUGUGGUUCUUGUUGUGACUGCAGUAAGCUGGCUCGCUUCCUUUGCCUGCAGGAGGAAACAUAUUCUUUUUAGAGUAACCAAAAUAAAUCUAAUUUCUGAAUGUCCCUGUUUCAAGAACCCUUGAGAGAAGUGACAGUUACAAGUACCUGUUUCUCAAUCUCAGCUAUCUGUUGCCUCUGCUGAGACGGUGGAGUAAUCUCCGCUCCAAGUAUUAUAUCUCUUAUCUCUGAUUGUGUCAGAGCUGAUGUAUUUACUUUGUUCUUCUUCGCGUAGUCGGAAAGGAUGAGAUCUCUAAGAGCAACCUCCACCUGAAUGUAACAAUGAAUCAUCUGAUGUGAGUAAGGAAGGAGGAUAACAACUUCACUAAACAAAGAAAAGAGUUACUUGAUUUUUAUUCAAAAAUAAGUAGAAACUGCAGAUGAAAAGACCAAGCGGUCUAAUCAGAAAAUACAACGGAACACUACUUGAAAGGUGGCGCAAGGGUUACCUUCAUCCAUUGGUCGUCAGUGAGAGAAGGCCAAAUGUGAUUUGGCUCAGUGACAACAGACAUGUCAGGCUUCAAUAACAUCUUUGCCUUCUCAUUGUUUACGUGAAGAGCACGAAGGAUCAGGAUGAGUCUUUGAAAGGCAGUGUACGAAGAAACAGUCAUCAACCAAUCAUCAUAGAUAUUGAAGAGGGCCAUCUGCGGCUCUGUGGCCUUCAAAAUCAGAUCACCAAAUUUUUCUAUCUUAAGACAAGCCUGGAACGGAAGCUGGAGUUCACUUCCCUUUAUAACAAUGUUUGGGAAAUCCAGCAGAUGAACCUCAAGGGGAUCCAACAUUCCUUUACGAGUCACAAUAACUUGUUUUGGCUGUUCUUCAACAGGGAGAGACCGCACAAGUGCAGCGACCUCUUCAGCAGUUUUCCAUUUUGCAAGCUGACCAAGGCGCUUCUGCCCAGCCCAAACGCUUGUAUGAAUGAUCUAGUGAGACAAAGAUCCCCAAUGGGUGUUAUUAUAGUUUUUUCAGAUAAAACAGCGGCUACGUAUUACAAUACAUUUACAUGUUACUAGUGGAAUUUAUGGGAGAGAAAAUUACCUUAAGGAAUAGUUGCCCUGUUCUUGGGUUGAAAAUAAAAAUCACACCAUUGAUUGGCUUUGUUGUUAGAUUUCCUUCAAAUGUCUUGUGGAUUGUGACACGGUAUACAUUGGUAUCAUCAACAAACCAUAUGAUCUGAUUGCUGAAUAUUUCACCAUAGUUUUGAGAUGACAGAUAUGGCUCUGUAGGCUCAGAUGAGUACAACUGCAAACCUUUCCUUAUCCUCUCUCUCAACACGUAUAGAGCGGGAUUUGACUGUAACAUUUAAAGUUUACACAAUAAGAGUCACAUAUGUAAAAGCCAAAUAAAAAUAAGCACACCACGAAUAGAAGUUCUAGUACCUUCAUGAUCUUGUUCAUUGCUUGAGCAAGCAGAGGUUUGGAACCAGGGAACCAAUUACCAAAGGCGGAAUGCAAGUUGUAGGCCAAAUCAAGCCCAAUAAUUACACCUGCGAUGAUUUCAUCAGGAUAUGAGACUUACUGCAGAAAAAAAUAAAUUGACAAACUGAAAAAGGCUAUUAAGUACCCGUUGGAGAUGGAUAGAUAGACAUGUUGUCCGUUGUGUAAUCCAUGAAUUUGGCCUUAGUAUAGCGUUCAAUAUCAUGGGAGUCAUAAUCUCCCCAUCGAAGUUGCACAUCUAUCCAGUACUUGUUACUCGCUUUCUGAUCAAACACAUCCUUGGACUCAGCGAUUAGACUAGGCUUAGACAUUGGCCAUUUAUGGGCAGCAAACAGAAGAACAUCAGCACAAGAGCUAUUCAUUUUGUAACUCUUCCGUGGAUGAAUUGUCUCUUUCUGCACAGUUUCUAUCUCCAAAGGUUCCAACUCUUGAUCCAGUACUUGGCAAAGGUCCAUAACAACACUCUCAUGGAUUUUUUGCCACAAAUGAGCACGGAAUAUCUGAAUCAAAGAUAUUUUAAGAGUAGGAAUCUUUCCGUGCAUAUAUAUUCCUGUCAAAUCCAACUGCACUUGGAAACCCACAUACACAUUCGCUCGAUUAAUUGUUGGCGACCACCAGAGCGUGAAUCUUCUAUUCGGAAUCUGGUUCAGACCAGACCUCUGUGCAUUUGUCAGUUUCUUAUAUUUCAUAGACUCCUCAAAACCAGAUGCCUUCUCCCAAAAAAGACCCUCCCAAGUUGGAAAGCUGGAUUCAUGUAAAGAAAAUUAUUUUAGCAAAAUUGAUACGGAAAGCUGUGAGCAACAAAACAUCAAAUGUCAAUGUGAAAGAAAGAACAUAAUAAAUUGAGCACGAACGAAAAGCAAGACUCACUAUGUUCCUUUAAAUAAGGUGUGCUCAAGAAUACCCUCAACACCUCCAAGAGCUUGGAUGACAUCAGUUCGGUAAUUGUUCAAGUUCCACAAUUUACCAUCAUGCCUCUGGUGUGUCCACCAGAAAGGAUUUUGUUUCAGGGCUUGGUACUGUUUGAAGUCGGUCCGGACCCUCCAACCUUUAUCAUAUGCUAAAGUGUGCCUAUCCUUCUGGAACAGCGUAUUUAUACGCGGAAUUCCCCUAUCCCAAGAGUCCUGUCAAAUAUUUUUUAACAUGAGUUAUUAUACUCUAAAAAUUAAACAUCAAGACUUCCCAAUCAAACUUUUAUUCUACCUUGUCGAUCUCCAAAAGAGAACAAGGCAACACUUAGAUAUCCUCUAAAAAUCCCUACAUCAAGUAGUUGACACACACAAAAAGCUACUUAAAGACCAGCAAAAGAGGAUAAAGCUAGCAAACUGAUAUCUUCUCAGAACUAUAAACUACGUAAAGAGGCAACAAAAUCACGAGUAAAAUACUUACUUCCAGAUCCUCCAGCGUCAGACGUCUAUUUUGGGCCUGAGCUUCCUGCCUCUUCAAAGCAUACUCUGCCCACACCCGCUGUGAAUCAAUAAAUUCGCUUUCCCAUGGUUGUAUGUAACGGUAAAGAUUAGGAAUCAGUUGAUCCUCCUCGUGGCUCAUUCCACUCCUGAAAUGGCUUACACCAACAUCUGUCUGGUUGCUGUACCGAAGGUCACUUUGUGGGAUCAAAAUAUGACCCAUAGACAACAUCCCAAGCCCGCCAAUUUCUUUCGGAGUGUAGAAGAUAACAGGAGGAAAUCUACCAAGGAAAAGAUGAACAAUCAGGUUUAAAAAACAUAACAUACAACUAUGAUACGUCAAACACAAUAUAGUAAGAUAGCAUUUGCUCACCGACUAGGCAUCUUUGAGUUUAGCCCAAUCUUAACCCUCGUUUGGAUUUUAUUUUCACAUUUAACAAGCAGAUCCAAGAGCUCUUGCGUAUGCACAGUGGCUUCACGGAAGUAAGUCAUGAGGCCUGUAUAAAACAAAUAAACGUGCUCAGCUUCAUGCUAGCCAAACAUUAUUAAACGUAAUCAGUACUGCCAAAAGAAAGGCGUACUACAGGAUAUACCUAUCAGAGCUGUAUUCCAUUUAUUGACGAUUUUGGUAAAUGUGGUUGACCCUGACGACAUAAGAAUCUGCCUCACACGAUUCUCAAACACCUUCAUGUGUUCAUCAUCAGCCCGCAGAAAAGCAACUGCAGUCCUCUCUUUAGUUUGUUCAUUCUGCAGAUUCCAGACACCAUCCCUUGUGCUGCUAAAAGCUUCUUGACCCAUCCUGAUUUUUGGAAGCACGCGGACUUCAAAUCCACACCUGCAGGCAAGAAUGCAAACCCCAGUCACUAUUUAAGCUGCACUAUCAAACAAUGACAAAAACAAAGGCCUAGCACUAAUGUACAAGAGCCACUAGAAAACUGAGACAAAACGCAUACAUGCUGAAAAGCAAGUUUGGAUUAUCCUUGCUGUACACGGAGACGAAGCCAUUCUCCCACUCCAAGGUUGUGAUGCUCCGUGGAAGACGAUUCUUCAUAUCCCAGAAGACACUUCUACCAAGAUUGACUGCAAGAUAAAUAAAUAAUGAGACAACAUCUGGUGCAUAAUGAUAGUCUAUCUAAAUAUAAAAAGGAGCAUACCAUCAUGUUUCAUUAACCUCAUCCUUGCAUCUCUUGGCCAGCAUUUUUUAUUGUUAUAUCCCACCAUGUUUUCAUUGUUGGGAUCAGGACGCUCGGUGAGAUGACGUUGAAUAAGAUCCCUAGCCUCUUCAUGGGUAAAUUUAAACAUUAUAUGCACUUUGUCUAUAUACCGAGAAUACAGUCUUAUGGGAUGGCGUGUCUCAACUUUUGUAUCCCAGUAGGUCAUAAACUCAUUAGGCCUCUGCGGUGGCCCGGCAAUUUCACUUGCUCGAGUCAAACCAAGGAGCAAAAGAUCUAACACUAGUCCAUAAAACUGAACAACAAACGAUGCGAACUGCAGUCCCCUAAUGAGUCCAUACGUAUUAGUAUAGCUCAUAUCCUUGUAAGACAGCACCACGUUAUUCUUGCCAGUCACAUAGUUUGCAAGCUUGGGAUCAAGAACCAAACGAAGAAGGCUGAAAGAAACAACAAAAAAGACGUGUUACUACAGAAAGUCUAAGUUCUAUGUCUGUAAUCACAUAAGCAUUUCACAGAGAGAUACCUGUUCAACACUGUCAAAUCAAUCUUCUCAAAGAGUUUUUCAAACUUCGUCUGGAGCAUCACUACACACUGACCAUCACUAGUGUCCCAUAUGCCUUGCAAAUUAUUGAUACCUUGACACCAUUUGUAAACCAGGAGCGGUGGCGGCUCUGAGUCUGCAGGCUUAAUCCAAUUGGGAAACAAGUGGCGCUUGUCACCCUCAUACCACAAAUACUGAUCAAGAUAAGCAUCAGUAAUUUUCUCCAGGGGAUCAAUUUGAUAGACUGGAAUCAAAUGGCUAUAUAGAUCCAUAAACUCUAUGCCAACCUGCAGAAAAAAAUAAUGUAUUCACCAUCAGAAUAACAUAGUAACCUUGAGAUCUAUAUGUUCAGAAAACUGCUCCAGAAUAGGUGCAUUAUCAACUUACUUCUUUGAAGCUAUGCUGAGUGAGAAGAUGACGCUUUAUUCGCAUCAGAGCUUCAUGAGGAUUGUCAUAAGCUUGUUCAAUUAAACCAAGCUCUUCUCUCUGCUGUUGAUUCAACUUCACAGCUGCACUAUAUGAUUCUUUCAGUCUCUCAAGGGCCAAGAUAAGCAACUUUGUGUCAUGUUUAUAUGAUAAUGGAGGGAAUGGGAUUGCUGAAAAUUUUCUAGAUUCCAGCCAAUUUACAGUGGUGCUAUAAAUUGCAAUUCCUUCAUCCGCUGUGACAUAUGGACCAUCUUUCUGAAAAUUAUGUUGUCGUUCCUGCAACAAUUUUACAAGGAAAAUGUAUUACAGAACUGGGCAAUCGAGAAUAAAAGGAACUAAAUUCAAUCAGACAAAAAAAUGAAGCCUCUUCGUAACCAUCUUUGUCAAACAACAAUGAUUUUGAUUUUACGAGUUGUGACAAGGUACAGACCUGUUCUGCCUUGAGCCAAAGACGGGUCAACCGUCCAAGAUUCUUUCUACAAACUGUCUUAUCAACAGUAGCCCCUCUUCUGAUACGUUCACGAUUGUAGUGAGCAACAUUUGUCCACCAAUCAGCUUUAGACUUGACAUAUCGGAGGAUCAUAUUCUCAAUUGCCACAGGUAAUCCAGGGACCUUCCAUGGUAUAUUAGCUUUCCAACACCGCCAUGCCUCACUAAGGUGCUGCAAUAUCGUCCGCGCCUUAUUUUGCUUAAUACCCUCUGCACAUUAGAAGACAGUAUAAACCAACAAGGAAGAGAUAAAAUUAAAGGAAAUCGACCUUGAGAAAAACAAAUCAGUUAUAGACGCAAGAAGCGAACCUGGCAUUGCAUCAACAACAUCAUGCAUGACAGCAGCUCGAAGCUCCAAAUCAAAAUGGCUUUCAACUCUCUGUUUUGUGACUGUUUUGGCCACUCCCUUUGAGUGACGCCCCUCAAAUUGACGUGCAAGCAGAUUCCCUAACCAUCGUUCUAGAAGAGGAACUAUUCCGCGAAGGAAAAACAACCAUACCCUCCACAUUGGAGCCCAAAAUCCACACCCUGGUCCUUUACCCACAGGACCAGUAUUGAAACGGUAAUAGAUCAAGUGUUUCAAAUCCUUGCACAUCCUGAUUUGUCUCAUAAGCCUGUACUUAUAACGAUACAUACCUGUCAAUUGCCCAACAUGGGAGAAAAUAUAUUGCAGGCCAUCAGCCAAUUGAAAGGCAUCAACAUUACCAAGUCGGAACUGGACAUUUGCAUCAACUACAAGUUUUGUCAGCCGGAGGAUCUCACGGCAGAGAUGGAAAGCAUUUCCAAAACGCGACUUCUUUCGUUCCUUGGUUGUCAGAGUUUUCACAGGCUUGAGGUUGAAGUUAUAAUCAAGGUGCAGGUAGUUCAAAUUCUUCCUGUGAAUCAACAGGUUCAGCAUAUUAUACCCCUGCCGGCAGACUUGCAGACCCACUUCAACCCAAUCCAGUUCGGUGCUCUGAAAAAACUUUGUAGCUGCAAGAGAUCGAAACAAAUGCUUCUUCUUCUGAGCCUUAGGGGGUCUAUGGUGCAGCUCAUUCAGUAGAUAACAUUUCAAAAGCUUCUGGUAACUAACCCGAACUUUGACAGGAUAUGCUGGAGGACUGCAGAAAAUGAGAUAACUAAGAAGUUAAUACAAUGUCUAGUAAAUUUCAAAAGGGGAAAGAGAACCACAGUAGCAUCAGAAAAAUUAGCUUACCAGUGCUCCUUAAACCACUCUGCAACAAGGGGUAUAUCUUCAGCCCGCCGAGUCCUCCCAGACCUCAUAUUGAAAGGCCGAGGGGCAAACAACAAUGAAAUGCCAGGAGCUGUAGUGUCAGUGUAGAGUGGCGAGUUAUUUAGCAAAGGUUCCAGUCCUUCUGGUAACACAAAGUCAUCCCCAUCAUCAUCAUAACCAUUACUUUUGCGCUGUUCUUUAUUAGUGUUAUUAGAGUUACUUAUGGGGUGAAUUAAUGGAUCAUAAUAAAAGGCAGGAAGGUCAGGAUCCUCAGUCUUUAUGUACAUAACCAUAGGAGUGUGAUAGACACAGAGUUUUACUUUCCUGGGCCUAUUAUUGUACAGAUGUGGGAAAGCUACUUUGUACUCAGUUCGCAGAGGGGAUCGAAUUAUAAGCUUGUUGAUGUCAUUAAAUUCAUUCCAGUCUUCAUCUCCUUUCUCCAUAUCACGAUGCAAAGGCUCAAACUUAGGACCGCCUGAAAAAGAGUACCAAAUUGAAUCAGGGAAAGAGAACAGAAGGACAACAACUGUGAAAACGAAGAUAUCAGAACAGGAGAACAUAGAGUAUAGCGUUACCUGGUAUGCACAUGUUCAGUGCCUUUGCAGUAAAGAAUGAUGGCAUGUCAAACAAGUAGAAGUAGUUGCGAUCAACCAAAUCAGACAACAACUGGGCUGCAAGCCUGUGAAGGGUUGACAUAAUUGGAAGUGAGAGAUUCCACGUCUGGUAACUUGGACCAUUGAUCAUUUUUGUUUUUACAAGUGGCUUGUGGUCGUAAAACCAAGAGUACACAGCAGAAUCUUCUUCUUCAUCUAGCUCCAACUGAAUUGCCUCUAGAGGAUCAACGUCCAACAGGUUAUCAGCAUAGUCUAGAGGGGGCUCCUCAUCAUCAAAUGGUGGAAACCGCAUUCUCUUGAAAUGACGACGAUCCCUCUUCUCCCUUCUCAUCAUUAUCCACAUAGAACCCCACUGCAAACGAAAGAAUCAUCACUAGAAAACAUGUCUCACAAAUUCACAAAUGCACAGACACAAAAGAAGAGAGAGGGAGAUUAUUCACCCACCUGAGCCAUGUAAAUAGGUUCCACAACCCAUCGUACUUCGUUCACAAAUGUAAUAGCUCCAGUGAUGUGGUACAAGACCUUCACGUCCCGGACCUGGAAAAUAUCUGAGUUCAAAAUUUUGAGCAGAGCAGGAGAACAACUAAAGCGAGAUAUAGAUCACUAAGUGAAUAAUUACCUGUUCCCAGGGCAUAGGCAUAUUCUCCAGGAGCUUGAAAACUGCGUGAGGAACGAACUUAAGUGCUCCAAGAUAUACACGUUUAUCAAGUCGAUGUUUCUUUGAUGACAUAUCACCAUGAUCCCUGAAUCAAAACGCAGAGUCAGUUUCAAUCUAACUUAACCCAAACCUAAUAAUACAAAGAAAUUGGACCAGAUUCGUUUCCCAGUCAACUGGAUUUCGAAAUCGAAAUUGAAAAAUUAGAAACUCGCCUGAUGAUUUUCCUAACGUGCUCAGGUGGCAUGUCCUCCUUCUGAGUUUCCACGAACCCAAACUUCCUCUUGUCGCCGUACCGUUUGGAAUUUAGCUGCAUCCAUGUUCUCGCCUUCUUCUCAAGCUUCGCCUCUGCAUCCUCGGGAGUAGGAACCGUCGGAGUAUUCCGAUUAGAAGGCGCCGUGUAAGAAGGAUGAUCAGCGGGAUGUGAAGGUGUCUGCAUCCUCGAACCGUCGGUACCAGGAGGAGCUAAGGACGUACCAUCAAUGUUCCACAUAGCUUCAGAUUUCAAAUCCAAAGGCCCAGCAAAAUCGCCGAGGAGCAAAACCCUAAAACCUCAGUGCGAGCCUUGACGAACACGAAAAUCCCUAAAAUCACCGUCGUCGGGUGAGGUUGGUAAGAAAGACGAUUAACCGAACGAACAUAUAUAUACGAAGGCAUUCAUGGGCCUUUUAGAAAAACAAUAGAUACGAUUAUGGGCCUAAUUUAUGGAUUCAGUCACGGCUCAUUUAGUAUUUAAGAGUAAGAGAUGUGUGGAAGGGGUGAUUUGGUAAUUUACAUUCAAGUCAACCAAAACCAGACUUUUUAAUCUCUCUCGAUCAGAAGUUACCUUUUUCACUUUUGCCGAGAAAAUCAGAGACAGAAGAAGAAGAAAAGCGAAAAAAAGCAAAACAUGAAGGCGACGACGAAGACUCCGAUCCACGUGGUGUGGUCAUGGGUUAGGAGACAACCUCCGAAGGUGAAGGCUUUUCUCGCCGUGGUCACUGGCAUGGCGGCUUUGGUUCUUCUCAGAUUCAUUGUUCACGAUCACGACAAUCUCUUCGUUGCCGCUGAGGCUGUUCAUUCCAUCGGGAUCUGUGUGCUCAUCUACAAACUCAUGAAGGAGAAGACCUGUGCCGGUACUAUUCUAUGUGUCUUGUCUUUAUCACAUCCAUUUUUAGGGUUUUUCAACUCAGUCCUGCCUUAUCAGCUUCUGAUCGUAUGUAUUCCUCUGUUCUUAGCAAAAUUACUUUUCAACGUCACAACUUUUUUGUUUUUCCUCAUAAUCGCGUCCAAAUUUUCGAGCUUUGAUCAGGAUUUCAUUGGUUUACCACUAUUAUCUGCUCCCGGAAGCAGCCUUUAGCCGUAAUUCGUAGAAUCAUCAUCUUUAUAAUCAAGGAUUCAAUUGGCAAUUUAGGGUUUAAGAUGCAUUCUAUGGUUCUUUUUUUAAAUCGAAAGUGUUUACCUUCGAUGUGUUUAUAUAACUUUGUGAAUGAUUUUGCAGGAUUGUCACUGAAAUCUCAGGAGCUUACGGCGAUAUUUUUAGCUGUUAGGCUGUAUUGUAGCAUUGUAAUGGAAUAUGAUAUACAUACCAUUCUUGACUUGGCUACUUUGGGAACAACUCUCUGGGUUAUAUUUAUGAUUCGUUUCAAGUUAAGAGCUAGUUACAUGGAGGACAAAGACAACUUUCCUCUCUAUUAUGUGGUAAGUCAAUCUGGUUUUGAUCCUCGAGUUGUUUGUUAUCAUUUACAGUGACAAUGAUCUGAUUUCAAUUUUUGCAGCUUGCGCCCUGUGUUGCAUUAGCUGUGUUCAUCCAUCCAUCGACCUCUCAUAACAUAAUAAACAGAAUUUCAUGGGCUUUAUGUGUAUACCUUGAAGCUGUUUCAGUACUACCUCAGCUACGAGUGAUGCAGAACACAAAGGUCACUACUUUAUUUCACAAUGUCAAGUAGAGAACUACAUUUGUUUUACUCUCUAAUCCGCGUCUAUUUGGUUUUCAGAUUGUUGAACCGUUCACGGCUCAUUAUGUUUUUGCACUUGGAGUAGCAAGGUUCCUCAGCUGUGCCCACUGGGUUUUACAGGUUAGUUUUGAUCUUCAAGAGUGGAUAGAGGUUAUACCAAUAGUGGUGAUUCCUAUACUCGAUUGGAUUAGUACCUUAAAAGUCGAUUUUGAAUAGCUGAAUACAUUGUCUAAUGUGCUGAAAAUAGGUUGUGGACACGCGGGGACGGUUGCUUGUAGCAUUGGGUUAUGGAUUGUGGCCAUCAAUGGUUCUGAUCUCAGAAAUUGUUCAAACUUUCAUCUUGGCAGAUUUCUGUUACUACUACGUCAAAAGGUACGCAUUAGUCCUUCACUUCAACAGUUUAGCUAUUUAGCUCUUUGUAUAUAUCUCAAAAGUUUCAACAUUUUUCUUUACAGCGUUUUCGGAGGCCAGCUUGUUCUCCGGCUACCGUCUGGAGUAGUAUAAGUUCAAAAGAUAGAAAUACCCCAACGAUGUCCUGCGAUGAGCUUGACGGAAAUUCUAAUUGGGAAAGAUAGCUCAAUUUUUCUUUACCUCUGAUUUCAUCGUUUAUGUGUCUUGAGGUUUCACCAAGUGUCUCGGUUACGAAUUAAUUUUACAGUGUUGUAUAUUUUGCCUAUCAAGGGAUUUAACGUCUUUCAGGUCGAUAAGUUAUCUUUGAAAUUGUUUCUUUACCAAAAUUUAAGCAACACUAGGGAGAGAACGUCUUAUAACUUGAAAUUUAUUAACGAGAAAUAUGAUCACUGGAAAUCAGUGAAACUGCAACAAGCACGUUGAACGCAUUUUAAAAAAUCACUCUCCAUAAAAAAGGAAGAGAACAGAAGUUAAAGGUCCGAAAGGUUUCUCCCAUUGAUGAAGUUGAUCACUUUAGUAGCAGUUCCCUCUAAUGCAGCGGUCACAACUGUCAAGUUCUGCAAGAACUCUUCUGCUGUAGGUUUAUCUCCGUCCACUAGAUCGGUCACGGCUUUGAGGAACACGACUGGUAUUUUCAGAAGAUCAGCCACAUACGCCACGGCAGCACCCUGAAGAAUCCAGAGCCAAAAGAGUUUCAAAACAACAGUUUCAUUGAUUUUCUGGUUAGAUUCAGUAAUAAGAAUUGUUAACAUUACACUACCUCCAUGUCCUUUAGCGUAGCAUCAUUGGCAAUGAUCAAUGUUUCAUCUUGCGUGGACAUAUCCAACGAGUCACCAGUAGAUAACCUGCCAAUCUGAACCACCCCAAUUUUGUCAAAAUUGAAAUAGUUAAAAGAGUAAGUAGCAUCUUGAGUCUAUUAAAUACCUUCAAAUUGAGUUCCUUGAGGAGAUUGGGUGUCGAGAAUGCCUGACGGAGACCAACUCCAUACAGAUCAAACAUCUAGAGAGAUAAACAAACAUUGCUCAGGAACUUGCAAGAUGAACUGGCAAAAAGGGAAUCAUCACUAAAGAUGGAAAAAAGAAAGAAAGGAAGAUGAACCUACCGGAAUUGGUAUUCUUCUAUCAUGAAACACAACAUCAGAUACAAGGAAUACAUCGCCUAUGUUGGCUCCUUUGACCUGCAAAUGUUCAGCCAAUCAGCACUUUCAUUACAUGAAAAUAAACCAACUUUCACAACAUAAAAAUAGAGAUAUGGAGAGAGAGAGAGAUCUUUUAUGAUGCAACUCAAAUCUCAGAGUUGAGUAAACGAGCAGUAACAAAAUCAAACCCAAACCACAAGUAAAGAAAGAAGAGAGGACGUGGUUCUUAGCAAGGAUGCUGGAAGUCAAGACAGAGCACACGAGAAGUAAAAGAACUGUACCUUGAAGCCACCGCAGGUUCCGGCAUUGAUUAUGAUGUCAGGUUUUAAUGCUUGGAUGGAAGCAAAAGUUAUGAGAGAAGCUGGAACAGUUCCAACACUAUCGAUCCCUGGAGAGAAAUCUCAGUUAGUAGCAUAAAAAAAGUGCAUUCAUUUUCCCUCAUACCAAACAAUGCAGCGACUUGAGAAACCAAAGCUACUAUACUAAAAUGCUGAGAGAUUCACAGGCUAAUUAUCAUAUCUUUGAGAGCAUUGAGUGCAAAGCUUACCUAAAGCUGCAUCUCUUCCGGGGCAAACUACAUUGAUUCGAAGAUCUUUAUGCACGCCGUGAUACAGAACCCAGGGCAAUCCUUUACCAAGCCUGCAAAAAAGUAAACUUUGAAGUGAGAGAUUCAUGGAGAUCAAAUCCAAACAAGCAAAAUCGAAAAAAGGAGAGCUCUUAACGGCGAAUCAGUAGUUUCAGAGAGUCCGAACUUGUUGACCAAAGGAAGAGCCUCCGCUUGCAUAGCUGCAGCUCCGUCAGAAACACACAAAAAGUAAGUAAGAAGACGAAGAAGAAAUCGAUCGAAUCGGAAACUUCAUAAAUCAUAAAGUACCGAUGACGAAGACGACUGAGGAGAUCGGUCGAAGAAUCUCCGAUUGAGCAUCGACCUCAGGUUCUUCGAUGUCACUUAAUCCAUCUCCAUGAGGAGCCAUAACCUUAUCCCUCUCUUCCGAUUCUCGGCGAUGCGUUUGAUUCCCAGGAAAAAUCCGAGAAUCGGAAAGAAACGGCUGGAAACUCCGGCGAAUGAGAGAUACAGUUUAUUCGUUUUUGGACCUUUUGGUCCUCUUUUGUGUUUCCACUUACCAAUAAUAAUAUAAUAAAAACAAAUUAUUUUUUUGUGCUAAUGACCGUAAUUAAUUAAAUUUAGCUAAGUUUUUGUACUAAUCUGGUCUCCUUGUAGUUUUAGCCAAGCUCUUGUAAUCAAAUUUUCAAAUUCUUCAAUUAACUUCAGAAUAUUUAUUUCACACUUUUAAAGAUAACUCAAAUGUUUCAUCAUAGCCAUUCAAGCAUCAUAAACGUAAACAAAUUUUAACGAAAUUAAAAAACAGAGUAAACAUUGCAUCCCAUGGUCAUUAGAAAAAAAAAAAAAAAGGCAUGAGUAGAAUCACCACACCAACAAGAGGAAACCCCAAACUUUCAAUUUUAUACAUCUGAAAGUAAAGACGGUUUUCCUCAUUAAUCUAAAACUUUUGGGGGUAAACACUCAAAAGUCAAAACCAUAUAACAUUUGUUGCUGCUAGUGCUGCUUAUUCCCUUCUAUGAUUAGUUUGAAGGCUCCUCUGUAUCAGUCGAAGUUGACGGCAGAAAGGUAGCCGAGGUGAGCGGCUCGUGAACCACCGAGUUAGAGGAAACCGAUAUGGGACUACCCUCGAGCUGCAACAUUAUACUCCCCAAUAUCUCUGCCAUUGUUUUCUUAAACUCUUCUUCCUUCACCACAUUUCCAUCAUCUCCAUUCACCAUCUUCAACGCUUCCAUUAUCAUAUUAUCCAUCUUAUAAACAAAAACAAACUUAACUAAUCAAUGCCGUUCAAAAAAUAAAAAUAAAAAUUCACUAAUAAUUUUUGAUUAAAACACUAAUUCUGGUUUCAUUUGUUUAACAAAUAAUUGUAACAUGUAAAUUCAAAGGCAAAAUAAACAAUUUAAAAGACAAAAUAAUUUAGACGGGGCAUUAUUUACCUGGGACACAGCGCCUAUUGGUGGUAAAGUGGCCGAUGGUGCAACAGUGUCAAGCACAGCUCGUAGAUAUCCUUUAGACACCUUACCCUGACGGUCUUUUGGAAUCGUCUCCAUGGCAACGUUUAGUGCCUGCGACCAAACCGUUCCGGAUCAUCAUCACUCGUUACCAUCAUUUAAAAAGUUUUCCUUUAGCAUAAAAGCUAGAUAACAUAUAUAUGUAUGGUAGUUUACCUUAUCGAAUUCGAAUUUAUUGGACAAGAGCCUCCUGAUACCGCUCCCAUCAAAGGUGUUUUCGCUGUGAGCAACGAUCACGGGCUGUUCAUUGAGACGCUGAGCCACACUCUCCACGACUCUCUUGAAUGCUUCCAAGAAUCUCUCCUGAGACGCGCUUUUCUCUCUUUUAUCUUCUUCAUCAAGACAAGAGUCAACAAUUGGUUCUACGAUGUUGCUCAUCACCUGUUACAAGGACUUUGCUUUUUAGGCAAAACUCAGUUGUCUCUAGCAACAUAUAUAACAUCAAAUACGAACUUGGAUACAUAUUACGUAUCAUAUGUACUCCCACCAUGUAAGUAUCGUUCUGAUAUUUUGUACAACAAAAAAAAAACACCCGAAAAGUAUUUUUACGGUUUUGGUAAAAAUACAAAAACAAACGGUUCUUAAUAUUAUAUGCUUUAUUUUAUCAAUCAUAUAAAUUUAGAUUUGAAGUUAAAUUAGGAAAAUCCAUAGCUUAACAGAAAUAUAUAAAAAUAAAAUAAAUAGGUACCCAUGGGUCGUUGGAAGGAGGCAUUCCAUGAUCAACAGAAAGAGACUGGAGAGCUUUGACGAUACAAUCACGGAGCGAUGCGUCCUUGCUACUGGAGAGCUCUGAGAAAACAGAAAUGCUCUCGAUUUCAUAUCCAGGGCCGUGGACAAACUCCGAGAGAUCCUCACCGUCCAUCCUGAGGAUGACGAUAGGAUCACGUUUCAGACCAGCAGCCAUACCCAACAAAAUGUCCGACAACACUUCUUUGAACUCUGUCUUGCUCACUUUCUCUUGACUCCCAUGAGUGAAUUCGUUUAGGACCUGUAUAUAGUUUAUUAUAACGUUACAAACGAUGAAAAAUAAAUGUACGGAUAAGACAGCUAGAGGGUUAUUGGUUUAAUCUCGUUGUCUCUUCUUUAAAUACACCAAAAGCUAAACCUAACGAUAAGUAAUUGGAUACUGAUUUGUAUCCACUAAGAGAGAGAUUCGUAUUCAGAUUUACUACUUCUU